CGUUGAUUACGUCCCUGCCCUUUGUACACACCGCCCGUCGCUACUACCGAUUGAAUGGCUCAGUGAGGCUUUCGGACUGGCCUAGGGAGAGUGGCAACACUCACCCAGGGCCGGAA
Molecule: ribosomal RNA, 116 nt
Filed under: Neobulgaria sp.
Lineage: Eukaryota; Fungi; Ascomycota; Leotiomycetes; Helotiales; Gelatinodiscaceae
Description: partial small subunit ribosomal RNA
Rfam family: Eukaryotic small subunit ribosomal RNA
Source: RNAcentral